Molecule: non-coding RNA, 131 nt
Organism: Podarcis lilfordi (Lilford's wall lizard)
Lineage: Eukaryota; Metazoa; Chordata; Lepidosauria; Squamata; Lacertidae
Source: the annotation of a GenBank genome assembly
ACCCAAAGUGUUGAGUUCAGUACAGGGCUAACUCCCCUGUUCUGGUAAUUAAACUUUGGGACAGUGAGUAGUUGGGAGAUGUCAAAGGCAGAAGCUUCGUUUCUGCCACUUCUCUACCCCAACCCACAAAA